Molecule: ribosomal RNA, 406 nt
Filed under: uncultured bacterium
Lineage: Bacteria
Description: partial 16S ribosomal RNA
Rfam family: Bacterial small subunit ribosomal RNA
Source: RNAcentral
AUUGAACGCUGGCGGCAGGCUUAACACAUGCAAGUAGAGCGAGCGGCGGACGGGUGAGUAAUGUCUGGGAAACUGACUGAUGGAGGGGGAUAACUACUGGAAAAGGUAGCUAAUACCGCAUACCAUCAGAUGUGCCCAGAUGGGAUUCGCUAGUAGGUGGGGUAAUGGCUCAACUAGGCGCAGCGCCCUAGCUGGUCUGAGAGGCUGACCAGCCACACUGGAACUGAGACACGGUCCAGACUCCUACGGGAGGCAGCAGUGUGGAAUAUUGCACAAUGGGCGAAUGCCUGAUGCAGCCAUGCCGCGUGUUUGAAGAAUGCCUUCGGGUUUUAAAGCACUUUCAGCGAGGAGGCGUUACUCGCAGAAGAAGCACCGGCUAACUCCGUGCCAGCAGCCGCGGUAAUUC